AACGAACGCUGGCGGCAUGCCUAACACAUGCAAGUCGAACGAGACCUUCGGGUCUAGUGGCGCACGGGUGGGUAACGCGUGGGAACCUGCACUUAGGUUCGGAAUAACUCACCGAAAGGGGUGCUAAUAACGGAGAAUGUCUUCGGACCAAAGAUUUCUCGCCUUUGGAUGGGCCCGCGUUGGAUUAGCUAGUUGGUAGGGUAAAAGCCUACCAAGGCGACGUUCCAUGGCUGGUCUGAGAGGAUGAUCAGCCACACUGGGACUGAGACACGGCCCAGACUGCUACGGGAGGCAGCAGUGGGGAAUAUUAGACAAUGGGCGAAAGCCUGAUCCAGCAAUGCCGCGUGAGUGAUGAAGGCCUUAGGGUUGUAAAGCUCUUUUACCCGGGAUGAUAAUGACAGUACCGGGAGAAUAAGCUCCGGCUAACUCCGUG
Molecule: ribosomal RNA, 433 nt
Filed under: uncultured bacterium
Lineage: Bacteria
Description: partial 16S ribosomal RNA
Rfam family: Bacterial small subunit ribosomal RNA
Source: RNAcentral